CCUACGGGAGGCAGCAGUAGGGAAUCUUCCACAAUGGACGAAAGUCUGAUGGAGCAACGCCGCGUGAGUGAUGAAGGUUUUCGGAUCGUAAAACUCUGUUGUAAGGGAAGAACAAGUACGAGAGGGAAUGCUCGUACCUUGACGGUACCUUGCGAGAAAGCCACGGCUAACUACGUGCCAGCAGCCGCGGUAAUACGUAGGUGGCAAGCGUUGUCCGGAAUUAUUGGGCGUAAAGCGCGCGCAGGCGGCCUUUUAAGUCUGAUGUGAAAGCCCCCGGCUCAACCGGGGAGGGUCAUUGGAAACUGGAAGGCUUGAGUACAGAAGAGAAGAGUGGAAUUCCAUGUGUAGCGGUGAAAUGCGUAGAGAUGUGGAGGAACACCAGUGGCGAAGGCGACUCUUUGGUCUGUAACUGACGCUGAGGCGCGAAAGCGUGGGGAGCAAACAGGAUUAGAUACCCUGGUAGUCCACGCCGUAAACGAUGAGUGCUAGGUNUUGGGGGGUUUACCGCCCCUCAGUGCUGAAGCUAACGCAUUAAGCACUCCGCCUGGGGAUACGGCCGNAGNUGAACUUAAGAUGCG
RNAcentral lists this ribosomal RNA (578 nucleotides) under uncultured bacterium. RNAcentral describes it as "bacterial SSU rRNA". It matches the Rfam family "Bacterial small subunit ribosomal RNA", at positions 338 to 873 of the family's 1533-position model. The record is from RNAcentral.